AUGAGUAUAUUUCUUGUCACAGCCCUGGUGGUCUGCCUUGUCAGCCAUGGAGCCGACAUGGCCACAGCUUCGGCAGCUUGGGAUGACCAAGAUUUCUUCAGAAACUGUCCGCCGUCCCGGUGCAGCAAGGAUGGACCCGAGAUCCGGUUCCCACUCCGGCUUGAUUCCAGCAAUACAUCUUCAUCCUGCGGUGCAACAUGUGCGAAGCUAGCAUGCUCAGGCCAAUCCACUAUCAUGCUUCACCCACUUCUUGGCCCAUGCAAUGUCAACGCCAUAAAUUACACCGGUGCCCUCCUCAACAUCACCCCGCUUACCUCCGCGUGCACAAUGAUUCAGAAUCUCAUAUCGACAAGUUCACCACCGGCUGACACUGGCCACCACUGUACUCCACAUUAUAGCAGAUCUGGAAGGCUUGUAGGCUGCUCAAGGGAGUUCACGCCAAGCGGGAUUACUCAGUAUCCCGUCUAUGACGAGAGAGGCAGUUACUAUGCUUCUGCCUCAGCUGCCGAUACUAUCGCCGGCCCAAUCUCCUGCCUUAGCAACAAAACCCACUUCUCGUAUUUGGUGGCAACUUAUGCAUUCAUGUAUUAUCUUCCAUUAGACUGCAAGGUCAUAUCAGAUGUCGCCCUCCCGAUAUUUGGCACAGGAUAUUAUGGGUCAGCAUCCAAGCAUGGUGUUGAAGGAGCCCUCCAGUUUUAUGACAUAGCAGCCGACUGGAGUGAACAGGAGCCGUCAUCCAUUCCCUCUGAGUGCCAAAAAUGUGAGAAGAACGGGCAACGCUGCGCAUUCAGCUCGCAAAAGAACGAAACAUUCUGCUUGUCUCAACCUCAUAAAGGUUCAUGUGUCAAAAUCAUUGCAGCUACAUCAUCUUCAGCCGCAUUUGUUGUUCUUCUGUUGAUGGUAGCCACUGCUCUUUAUCUUUCGCUAAAGACAAGAUACAAUGAAGAGAUACAUUUGAAAGUUGAAAUGUUCCUCAAGACAUAUGGCACAUCAAAACCCACAAGGUACACUUUCUCCGAAAUUAAGAAGAUAACAAGACGGAUCAAGGAUAAAUUAGGACAAGGUGGAUUUGGAAGUGUGUACAAAGGUGAGCUACCAAAUGGAGUUCCUGUGGCGAUCAAGAUGCUGGAGAACUCUAAUGGAGAGGGGCAGGAAUUCAUCAAUGAAGUUGCAACUAUCGGGAGAAUCCACUAUACAAACAUUGUCCGCCUUCUUGGCUUUUGCUCUGAAGGUACAAGAAGGGCUAUUAUUUACGUAUUCAUGUCUAAAGAUUCAUUGGAGAAAUAUAUAUUCUCAGGUAAUUACAUUGUUCCCCGAGAACUCCUGGCACCAGAAAAAAUGCUAGAUAUUGCUUUAGGCAUUGCUAGAGGAAUAGAAUACUUGCAUCAAGGAUGCAAUCAGCGCAUCCUCCACUUGGACAUCAAGCCUCACAAUAUCUUACUGGACUACAGCUUUAAUCCGAAGAACUCAGACUUCGGCCUUGCAAAGUUAUGUGCAAGGGACCAAAGCAUCAUUAUCUUGACCGCAGCAAGAGGCACCAUGGGUUACAUCGCACCAGAACUAUACUCUAGGAACUUUGGAGGGAUAUCCUACAAGUCAGAUGUUUACAGUUUUGGCAUGCUGGUGUUAGAAAUGGUGAGUGGGAGGAGGAACUCAGACCCAAGUGUUGGGAUCCAGAACCAGGUAUAUCUCCCGGAGUGGAUCUAUGAGAAAGUAAUGACUGGAGAGGAACUGGUGCUUACUCUGGAAGUGACACCAGAAGGGCAAGUAAAUAUGAGACAGCUGGCUAUUGUGGCACUGUGGUGUAUUCAGUGGAACCCAAGAAACCGGCCAUCAAUGACAAAGGUGAUAAACAUGUUAUUGGGAAGUUUGCAGGAUCUGCAGGUGCCGCCUAAGCCCUUUGUCCCAUCUGACAAUCGCCGCACGCCAUAA
This 1932-nucleotide ribosomal RNA is filed under the name Triticum aestivum (bread wheat). Its description in RNAcentral is "partial small subunit ribosomal RNA". Lineage: Eukaryota; Viridiplantae; Streptophyta; Magnoliopsida; Poales; Poaceae. The record is from RNAcentral.